Molecule: microRNA precursor, 64 nt
Filed under: Nautilus pompilius
Lineage: Eukaryota; Metazoa; Mollusca; Cephalopoda; Nautilida; Nautilidae
Description: Npo-Mir-29-P1_pre stem-loop
Source: RNAcentral
CUGAUCUCGAGUGGUGAGUAGAUUAUUUCUUUAAACUUCAUCUAGCACCAUUUGAAAUCAGUAC